This 106-nucleotide transfer RNA is filed under the name Cryptococcus amylolentus CBS 6039. RNAcentral's name for it is "tRNA-Met". The record is from RNAcentral. Lineage: Eukaryota; Fungi; Basidiomycota; Tremellomycetes; Tremellales; Cryptococcaceae. RNAcentral also lists the same sequence under 1 other name.
AACGGCGUAAUUCAGAGGAAGAAUGCGAGGCUCAUAACGAGAUUAUGUAAUUAUUACAUAAGAUCAAGAUACCUCGAAGUCACAUGAUCGAAACAUGUCGCCGUUA